Molecule: ribosomal RNA, 428 nt
Filed under: uncultured bacterium
Lineage: Bacteria
Description: bacterial SSU rRNA
Rfam family: Bacterial small subunit ribosomal RNA
Source: RNAcentral
GUGGGGAAUAUUGGGCAAUGGGCGCAAGCCUGACCCAGCAACGCCGCGUGAGGGAAGAAGGCUUUCGGGUUGUAAACCUCUGUCCUUGGUGACGAAAAAAAUGACGGUAGCCAAGGAGGAAGCCCCGGCUAACUACGUGCCAGCAGCCGCGGUAAUACGUAGGGGGCGAGCGUUGUCCGGAAUUACUGGGCGUAAAGGGUGCGUAGGUGGCCUUUUAAGUUGGAUGUGAAAUACCCGGGCUUAACUUGGGGGGUGCAUCCAAAACUGGGAGGCUAGAGUGCAGGAGAGGAAAGCGGAAUUCCUAGUGUAGCGGUGAAAUGCGUAGAUAUUAGGAGGAACACCAGUGGCGAAGGCGACUUUCUGGACUGCACCUGACGCUGAGGCGCGAAAGCGUGGGGAGCGAACGGGAUUAGAAACCCGUGUAGUCC